AGCCCUUUCCCUACGAUCUGGGGCUUUCAAAUGUGCAUUCGUGUAACUCUGGACUUAAAGGGGCAGAAGCCGGGGAAGGGGUGUUGGGGCGCAGGACUCCAGGGACACGCCACUCCGGGCCGGGCCUGGGAUGGAAAUCCUCCCCGGGGCGCCCCAGCUGCGAGUGUGGACGGACACCGGUCCCGACCUCGGUCCCUACCUGUCCCGGCGCUCACCUGGCGGCCUGCUCGGAGCUGAUCUUGAAUAGCCUGAAGCAGGUUCCGGCUAGAGAUUGAGGUCUAGCGGUGGCAGCGAAAGCGCAGAAUCCUGAUCACUAGACCACCAGGGUCCUCCCGUCUGCAGGGGCUUGCCUGGUGGCUCAGGCGGUGAAGAAUCUGCCUGCAAUGCAGGAGACCUGGGUUCGAUCCCUGAGUGGGGAAGAUCCCCUGGAGAAGGAUAUGGCAACCCACUCCAGUAUUCUUGCUUG
This is a long non-coding RNA of Cervus elaphus (red deer), 466 nucleotides long. RefSeq lists it as uncharacterized. NCBI's taxonomy places the organism in Eukaryota, Metazoa, Chordata, Mammalia, Artiodactyla, Cervidae. The record is from RefSeq and is a predicted model, not a curated record. The transcript has 3 exons.